GUACUCGGCUACGAACCGAGCGGUCGGAGGUUCGAAUCCUCCCGGAUGCACCA
This 53-nucleotide transfer RNA is filed under the name Escherichia coli. RNAcentral's name for it is "tRNA-Ser". It matches the Rfam family "tRNA", at positions 23 to 71 of the family's 71-position model. From Rfam's summary of the family: Transfer RNA (tRNA) molecules are approximately 80 nucleotides in length. Their secondary structure includes four short double-helical elements and three loops (D, anti-codon, and T loops). The record is from RNAcentral. Lineage: Bacteria; Pseudomonadati; Pseudomonadota; Gammaproteobacteria; Enterobacterales; Enterobacteriaceae. RNAcentral also lists the same sequence under 5 other names.